GGGCCCUUUCUUCCGUUUGAACGUAAAGGCAUUUUUGAGACCACUACCAAACCUAGCAAAUAAACCGGGAGGCUUGACUGCUCGUAGGGAUUGUGGUUGAUAUGCAUCUGAGUCGAAUCUAUUGGCAUUCCAAGAUGUUUGGUCGUCAUGGUUAUUGCUCAUAAAUGGAUUUUCAUGGACAUCAUUUUCAAUGUUAUCAUCAUCAGCGUCUAAGUCAAUAGUCUCUUCGGGAAGUACAUGACUUGGUGGUAUAUAAUUCGCGUUCGCAUGUGAGUUGGUGACCUUUGAACGGGAUCCAGAAAGAGAAGUCGUGUCGUCUAAGAAGUCAAUAUCGAAAAGCGUGUCGUCCUCCCCAGGUUUCCUCUUUGGGGGGGUUUCUCUGUCGUCAUUCAUGGUAAAAUCAGGGAAUGAAAGAACCUACCAGUAAAUUAUUGCUUGGCGCUAACCUCUAUUUGGCGUUACUGGCUUCUUGUUGCACUAUUCCCCCUUAGAAUUGCCAACAAUUGUUGAUUAUAUGUUUCUUCAACUUAGUGGCAUUAAACAGAUUUGGGUUUUCUGGCAAAAA
This 565-nucleotide small RNA is filed under the name Saccharomyces cerevisiae YJM1447. RNAcentral's name for it is "HRA1". Lineage: Eukaryota; Fungi; Ascomycota; Saccharomycetes; Saccharomycetales; Saccharomycetaceae. The record is from RNAcentral.